UACGUAGGUGGCGAGCGUUGUCCGGAUUUACUGGGCGUAAAGGGAGCGUAGGCGGACUUUUAAGUGAGAUGUGAAAUACCCGGGCUCAACUUGGGUGCUGCAUUUCAAACUGGAAGUCUAGAGUGCAGGAGAGGAGAAUGGAAUUCCUAGUGUAGCGGUAAAAUGCGUAGAGAUUAGGAAGAACACCAGUGGCGAAGGCGAUUCUCUGGACUGUAACUGACGCUGAGGCUCGAAAGCGUGGGGAGCAAACAGGAUUAGAUACCCCGGUAGU
This 271-nucleotide ribosomal RNA is filed under the name uncultured prokaryote. RNAcentral's name for it is "partial 16S ribosomal RNA". It matches the Rfam family "Bacterial small subunit ribosomal RNA", at positions 524 to 794 of the family's 1533-position model. The record is from RNAcentral.